GUGCCAGCCGCCGCGGUAAUACGUAGGGGGCAAGCGUUGUCCGGAUUUAUUGGGCGUAAAGCGCACGCAGGCGGUGCGGUAAGUUACAAGUGACAGGUGGUGGCUUAACUGCCACAGGACUUGAAAAACUGCCGCACUUGAGGGCUUGAGAGGGACGCGGAAUUCCAGGUGGAGCGGUGAAAUGCGUAGAGAUCUGGAAGAACACCAAAGGCGAAGGCAGCGUCCUGGCGAGUCACUGACGCUCAGGUGCGAAAGCUAGGGGAGCAAACAGGAUUAGAUACCCUGGUAGUCC
This 292-nucleotide ribosomal RNA is filed under the name uncultured bacterium. RNAcentral describes it as "partial 16S ribosomal RNA". It matches the Rfam family "Bacterial small subunit ribosomal RNA", at positions 505 to 796 of the family's 1533-position model. The record is from RNAcentral.